Molecule: long non-coding RNA, 1056 nt
Organism: Nilaparvata lugens (brown planthopper)
Lineage: Eukaryota; Metazoa; Arthropoda; Insecta; Hemiptera; Delphacidae
Exons: 5
Source: RefSeq, a predicted model, not a curated record
AGAAAAAAAUUAAUAAUUUAUUACAGAUUAUUCUACAGAAAAUGCAAUAAAUGGGAAGAUUUGAGGGGAGACGAAGAGAAGAGAAUGAGGGAGAGAUACAAGAAGGAGUCUGACUUUAAAUAUCUGAAUUUUAAAUAUCGCUCAUACAAAACUCCAAUAAACACAAUGGAGGAAUAUCGACAAAUUGAAAGAAAGGCAGAAGGAAUUGAAAAAUGAAGAAGAAAAACGGACCAAAUGUGAGGAAUAGAAAAUAUCAUGAAUAGAAUCUCUGCAAAUGAAAAAUUCAAUCAACACCCUCAAAGGUAAUAUGAAAAAAUAUAUUCUACUCUUAACUCAAUAAUAUUAUACCAGUAUUCUUGAAAUAGCUAAUUUUCCUUGUUGCAGAUUUUAUUAUGAAUGCUGUGAAAACGAAUUUAAAUCUCAAAUCAACAUUUCAAAGGUAACUUUAUCUGUUGAAGUAGAAAUUAUUUUAAAAAUUCAAUUCAAAUUCAAAUAUUCUCUAACAUUACAUUUUCUUAUAUCAGUUACACAUUGUGUUAUAGGACCAUUGACAAAUUGAAAGAAAAGCAGAAGGAAUGGAAAAAUGAAGAAGAAAAAACGGGCCAAACGUGAGAAAUAGAAAAUAUCAUGAAUAGAAUUAUUGCAAAUUAAAAACACCCUCAAAGAUUUUGCUAUGAAUGCUGUGAAAACGUUAAAAAACGAGUAUAACAAAGAAAAUGGAGAAAAGACAUCUAUGAAAAAUCUCCACUUAUUUGAGUCUUGAAUCAACACCUCUAAGAUUGUGUUCUAGGAUCAAGAUGGUAUCAGGACUAAGGAAGGCUUAGAAAGUUGAAGAUAAAUGUAUAUAUGAUGAAGUUUAGGUCAAGGACAUCUGAAUAAAUUUUUGCCAAUCGAAUAAUACUCAAGUCAACACCCUGAGGAGUACCCUAUCAACAUCAACAGACUGAAUCAAACAUGUGUAGAUAGUGCAUGGAAUCAACUUAGCAGAAAUGAGCUACAGUGAGUCGGGUGGCGCCGAUGAUACCCCUGUCAUUGAGCAGUUAAUACAGCGCUAGC